RNAcentral lists this ribosomal RNA (85 nucleotides) under Cohnella luojiensis. The record is from RNAcentral. Lineage: Bacteria; Bacillati; Bacillota; Bacilli; Caryophanales; Paenibacillaceae.
ACCCAUCCCGAACACGACCGUUAAGCCCUCCAGCGCCAAUGGUACUUGGACCGCAGGGUCCUGGGAGAGUAGGACGUUGCCAGGC